CUGAGUCGUAAAAAACUCCCAACCCAUGUGAAUUUACCUUUGUUGCCUCGGCGGACCUACCCGGUACCUACCCUGUAGCUACCCUGUAGCCCGCCGGUGGACUAUUUAACUCUUGUUAUUUUAUAGUAAUCUGAGCGUCUUAUUUUAAUAAGUCA
RNAcentral lists this unclassified non-coding RNA (155 nucleotides) under uncultured Phlogicylindrium. Its description in RNAcentral is "sequence contains ITS1". Lineage: Eukaryota; Fungi; Ascomycota; Sordariomycetes. The record is from RNAcentral.